Molecule: long non-coding RNA, 299 nt
Filed under: Nicotiana benthamiana
Lineage: Eukaryota; Viridiplantae; Streptophyta; Magnoliopsida; Solanales; Solanaceae
Description: long non-coding RNA (NBEN_LNC040070)
Source: RNAcentral
UCAUAUAACUCUAGAGCCUUUGUAAGAAUGGGUUAUGUGUGUGUGAAGGGUUUAUGGGUCAAGAAAUAGGAGAGUGAUAUCAAAACUGCCCAUCCAGACUCCAAGCCCAAACCUUCUGCUUCUUAUCCUAGCCCUAUUGGAUCUGACCUAUCUGAAAAAAUUAGCGCCAUUAGGAAAGCGCUCUCUACAAUCAAGGAUAUCCUCAUUACCACCUAGUCCACCGUUGGUACCAUUCAUGCUAUCUCCAAGGAAACAGGGUCUGAUGUCUCCAAGAUUCGGGUUACAGUUCUCAAAGUUAG